RNAcentral lists this ribosomal RNA (356 nucleotides) under Harmothoe fuligineum. RNAcentral's name for it is "partial 16S ribosomal RNA". It matches the Rfam family "Bacterial large subunit ribosomal RNA", at positions 1935 to 2528 of the family's 2925-position model. Lineage: Eukaryota; Metazoa; Annelida; Polychaeta; Phyllodocida; Polynoidae. The record is from RNAcentral.
GGUAUCCGACCGUGCUAAGGUAGCAUAAUCAUUUGCCUUUUAAUUGGAGGCUAGUAUGAAUGGGAAGACGUAGAUUCAGCUGUUUCUAUAUUAUAAAUAAAACUUAAACUUUAGGUGAAGAUGCCUAAAUUUUAUAGAAAGACAAGAAGACCCUAUAGAGUUUUAGUUAAACCUACUAAUCUAUUGUAAUAUAACUUUGGUUGGGGCGACCUAGGAUUUUCAUAAACAUCCUACUAACUUACGAUAUUUUAUUCUUAUAAAUUGACCCUAUAACGGAUUAUCAGAAAUAACUACCUUAGGGAUAACAGGCUUAUCUUCCUAGAGAGCUCUUAUUGAUAGGAUGGUUUGGCACCUCG